AUACGGAGGGUCCGAGCGUUAUCCGGAUUUAUUGGGUUUAAAGGGUGCGCAGGCGGCCAUUUAAGUCAGCGGUUAAAUCGUGGGGCUCAACCCCAUUCUGCCGUUGAUACUGGGUGGCUUGAUUGCGGUCGAGGUUGGCGGAAUUCGUUGUGUAGCGGUGAAAUGCAUAGAUAUGACGAAGAACACCGAUUGCGUAGGCAGCUGACCAGACCGCAAAUGACGCUCAUGCACGAAAGUGCGGGGAUCGAACAGGAUUAGAUACCCUGGUAGUCCGCACAGUAAACGAUGAAUACUUGUUUUCCGCGAUAUAAUGUCGGAGGCAAAGCGAAAGCGAUAAGUAUUCCACCUGGGGAGUACGCCGGCAACGGUGAAACUCAAAUGAAUUGACGGGG
RNAcentral lists this ribosomal RNA (392 nucleotides) under uncultured bacterium. Its description in RNAcentral is "partial 16S ribosomal RNA". It matches the Rfam family "Bacterial small subunit ribosomal RNA", at positions 523 to 918 of the family's 1533-position model. The record is from RNAcentral.